RNAcentral lists this ribosomal RNA (492 nucleotides) under uncultured bacterium. RNAcentral describes it as "partial 16S ribosomal RNA". It matches the Rfam family "Bacterial small subunit ribosomal RNA", at positions 29 to 507 of the family's 1533-position model. The record is from RNAcentral.
AGUGAACGCUGGCGGUAGGCCUAACACAUGCAAGUCGAACGGCAGCACAGUAAGAGCUUGCUCUUACGGGUGGCGAGUGGCGGACGGGUGAGGAAUACAUCGGAAUCUACUUUUUCGUGGGGGAUAACGUAGGGAAACUUACGCUAAUACCGCAUACGACCUACGGGUGAAAGCAGGGGAUCUUCGGACCUUGCGCGAUUGAAUGAGCCGAUGUCGGAUUAGCUAGUUGGCGGGGUAAAGGCCCACCAAGGCGACGAUCCGUAGCUGGUCUGAGAGGAUGAUCAGCCACACUGGAACUGAGACACGGUCCAGACUCCUACGGGAGGCAGCAGUGGGGAAUAUUGGACAAUGGGCGAAAGCCUGAUCCAGCAAUACCGCGUGGGUGAAGAAGGCCUUCGGGUUGUAAAGCCCUUUUGUUGGGAAAGAAAAGCAGCAGGUUAAUACCCCGCUGUUUUGACGGUACCCAAAGAAUAAGCACCGGCUAACUUCGUG